This 301-nucleotide ribosomal RNA is filed under the name uncultured bacterium. RNAcentral describes it as "partial 16S ribosomal RNA". It matches the Rfam family "Bacterial small subunit ribosomal RNA", at positions 509 to 807 of the family's 1533-position model. The record is from RNAcentral.
CAGUCGCCGCGGUAAUACAUAGGUGGCAAGCGUUGUCCGGAAUUAUUGGGCGUAAAGGGCUCGCAGGCGGUUUCUUAAGUCUGAUGUGAAAGCCCCCGGCUCAACCGGGGAGGGUCAUUGGAAACUGGGAAACUUGAGUGCAGAAGAGGAGAGUGGAAUUCCACGUGUAGCGGUGAAAUGCGUAGAGAUGUGGAGGAACACCAGUGGCGAAGGCGACUCUCUGGUCUGUAACUGACGCUGAGGAGCGAAAGCGUGGGGAGCGAACAGGAUUAGAUACCCCUGUAGUCCCUGUCUCUUAUAC